Molecule: long non-coding RNA, 626 nt
Filed under: Physcomitrium patens
Lineage: Eukaryota; Viridiplantae; Streptophyta; Bryopsida; Funariales; Funariaceae
Description: long non-coding RNA (PPAT_LNC007282)
Source: RNAcentral
AUCGGAUUUUUUAUAAUCUCAACUAAUAGAGAAGGCCCUAAACUAGAAAUUUAUAAAAGAAAAAGUGAUGAAACCUUAAAGUCGAGCUCUACUCUUCAUGAUGAACCCUUAGAUACUUCUAAGCUUCCUCUUCAACUUCAAAAAGUUAUCAAAAAUUGAAUACUAAUGCAAUUUCAAUAAAAAUUAUACUACUCUAAAUUUAUCGUGUAGAUGCUUCUAUUCUAAAAUAAUUCAAUUUAAGAUAGUCAAUAGGUACUAAAAAAUGAUUUUUCAAACAUAGAGUACACAAAAUUACCAAUGUAGUAAAUCCCUUUUUAAUCAAAAAUUCACUAAAAAAUGAAUUUUAGACCAAUUUAAAUGUAUGAUAGCUUCUUAGAAAUCCCACAUCAAGAUAUACAAUCUCACAAGUUUCAAAAUAAAAUAAAAAAUAUAUAUAAAAAUUGAUUAAUGAAAAUCCAAGAGAAAAUCACUUUCUACUUAAUCAUAAAUUUUUUUAUUUUUUAUUUAUUUUUUAUUAUCUUUUGACUAUAAAAUUAAAAGAAAUUUUUUUAUAUCAACAAUGAAUAAAGAUAGAAGACUUAUAAAUGAUGGAAAAUAUAUUUGAAAUACUAAUUCAUAAAGUCCAC